This 504-nucleotide ribosomal RNA is filed under the name uncultured bacterium. RNAcentral's name for it is "partial 16S ribosomal RNA". It matches the Rfam family "Bacterial small subunit ribosomal RNA", at positions 30 to 523 of the family's 1533-position model. The record is from RNAcentral.
AUUGAACGCUGGCGGCAGGCCUAACACAUGCAAGUCGAACGGUAGCACAGAGAGCUUGCUCUCGGGUGACGAGUGGCGGACGGGUGAGUAAUGUCUGGGAAACUGCCCGAUGGAGGGGGAUAACUACUGGAAACGGUAGCUAAUACCGCAUAACGUCGCAAGACCAAAGUGGGGGACCUUCGGGCCUCACACCAGCGGAUGUGCCCAGAUGGGAUUAGCUAGUAGGUGGGGUAAUGGCUCACCUAGGCGACGAUCCCUAGCUGGUCUGAGAGGAUGACCAGCCACACUGGAACUGAGACACGGUCCAGACUCCUACGGGAGGCAGCAGUGGGGAAUAUUGCACAAUGGGCGCAAGCCUGAUGCAGCCAUGCCGCGUGUAUGAAGAAGGCCUUCGGGUUGUAAAGUACUUUCAGCGGGGAGGAAGGCGGUGAAGUUAAUAGCUUCACCGAUUGACGUUACACGCAGAAGAAGCACCGGCUAACUCCGUGCCAGCCGCCGCCGUAA